RNAcentral lists this unclassified non-coding RNA (294 nucleotides) under fungal sp. RNAcentral's name for it is "partial internal transcribed spacer region". The stretch from base 1 to 46 matches the Rfam family "Eukaryotic small subunit ribosomal RNA", at positions 1786 to 1831 of the family's 1831-position model. Lineage: Eukaryota; Fungi. The record is from RNAcentral.
AAGUCGUAACAAGGUUUCCGUAGGUGAACCUGCGGAAGGAUCAUUACAAGUUAUUAGUGUGGACAUGUAUGUAUGUGGGUGGGUGGGUUAGUGGGUAAGCGGGUCAGUGGCACUCUAUCAGCUACAACGCUACUGGCUAUUUAGCUGCAAGCGACUAGCUUUUAGACCUACAGCCCCCGCCAUAACCCCACCUAUGCCAUAUGUAUACUACACCACUAUAUACGCGUGUUGUGUUUGACAGAGUCAUCUAGUUCUAAACUUUUAAAACUUUUAACAAUGGAUCUCUUGGUUCUC